This 71-nucleotide transfer RNA is filed under the name Heterocephalus glaber (naked mole-rat). It matches the Rfam family "tRNA". Rfam says of the family: Transfer RNA (tRNA) molecules are approximately 80 nucleotides in length. Their secondary structure includes four short double-helical elements and three loops (D, anti-codon, and T loops). Lineage: Eukaryota; Metazoa; Chordata; Mammalia; Rodentia; Bathyergidae. The record is from Rfam by way of RNAcentral.
GGGGGUGUAGCUCAGUGGUAGAGCACAUGUUUUGCAUGUAUGAGGUUCUGGUUCAGUCCCCGGCCCUUUUA